CUAAUCCGCACAUUUCUCUUCCUGUGUGAUGUUACCAUCACUUUAUCAUAAAUGGGCUAUGAAGACAUUUGGAGCUGCUACUGUUGUAAUCUAUCCAAGAUGAAUAGGGCGAAGGCUGAAAUAAACUCCCCGUUUCCUGUCCCAUCUGUCUGCCAGACUGCGGGUCAGGGGCAUCCUCCCUCCAGGCUGGUAAUUGCAAAAAACGAAGCAACUGAACCCGAACUAGAAGAUCAAAGAGCUCAGGAGAUGAGGAGGAGGGGGAGGAACUUUUCUGAGAACAAACUGGCUACGGGGGCGAAGGCGAUUAGGGGAAACAACAACAACACACAAAAACCCCCAGCCUUCCUUCAUUGACACAGAGAAGGAGGGAGGGGGGGAGAGAGAGGAGAGAGAGAGAGAACGCUCACACACAUUUGGCAGAUGAAGUUUGCUCCUGGAUGGAGCAGGAUAACUAUGUGGGGAGGCUGGGGGACUUUGUAAGGUGGGAGGGUUUCAGGAGCUCUCCUUGUCCCCAUCCUCAUCGUGGCCUUCCUCUGACCUGCAGACUGUCUUUGCUACCUCAUUAGCUACACAAAAACAAAUCCUUCCGAUUCGGUACAGAGACACCAUCUCUCUCUCCCUCUCCUUUCCAGGACCGAUUUCAGAAACAGUCUAGGGCACACCAGGGUUGAGAGGAGCCACCCAGAGUGAUGCAGACUGUCCCAGCUCUCUAAACUGCCACCCAGACACACCGGUCCUGUCCCUAAAGAUGAAUGAAACUCUGCAACCAACUGAUGUUUUCCCCACAAUCGGCAAUAAAUCGCAGCCAGGGCGCGAACAGUGUUCACAUUCGCUCCUAUUAAUGCUUCCUGUCUCUGGACGCUGGGCCGGGUCCAGAUUCGCUGCACUACAAGGCUUCCUGCUGGAGGAGUGAGGCCUCUAGGCUGCGUUCCAGUUACAACUGGCAGCUAAUGCCUUCACACAUUCGCAAAUCCCAGGCCCGCCGGGGCAGGAGGCGGCGAGGUUUGCCUGGGGUCAGCAACUGCGGCACUGGCGGAAGCCCCUGGGAGGUGGUUCUGGCCCCCAGGCGGGGUGAGUGGAGCGGGGUCCGCACGGCCUCGCAGGCGCAGGUUGUUUCUCUCCCCUGGAUGCCUGUGGGGGUGGGGACGGCAGAGCCUCGGACACUGCCCGGGGAUCACUCUCAGGCUACUUUUCCCACCCUGCCAAGCUGCUCGAGACGUCAAAGGAGACCAGGCCGGUCAGCACACAGGCUUCUGGUAAGUGCCGCCCUCCGGUCUGGGAGCUCAGCUCUCCCCUUCUGACUCACCGCUCGGCGCUGACUCAUCGUGACGGCGAGUGGGGCUCCAGCUCCGCGGCAUUUCAUAGACAGCGCGGUCACAUUCCUUUCCAACAGUCGCUCUGGCCUCGAUGUCUAAGGCUCCGUGGGCAGCCGGCCUGUGGAUGAGGCGGCGGAAACCACAUCCUCUUCAUCAUCCUCUCACGAGGAAGGACACUGACAGCUUCGGAGAAGGCUGCCCAGUGUCUGCGGGUGCCCUUGGGAGAUGGCCUUGGGACACGGUGCCUGUGCCUGUGUGUGUACACCACGUGUGAACGCCAACUGGGAACACGGCCCCUUCGUAGGCAAACCCAGGCCUCCUGGAAGUCACAAGUUGAUAGCUGUACUCGCCCCUUUUGGAAGACGCACGCCCAAGGCACCCGUGUGUGCACACGUAUCCGUGUGUGGACCUCUGUCCACACGUGUGUGUUUUGAAAAGCCUUUCUCACCACAUGUUAGGAUCACAAGUGUUCAAAAUCUAGGCACACUUUUCAGAAGUUAUUUCUGGAAAAAAUGUUGAAUCUCAUAACAGCAAUAAAAGGAAAAUACCGCCUCAGCCAACAUAAAUGUCUCCUUGGAACAUGCCUGAAAAGCGGCGGAGUAUUUGUGUAAGUUUCAAUUCCAGCGUCAGAGCCUGCAGCUUGGCCGAGGCCGGGUUCUGCACAGGAGGGUGCACGGUCCCUUUCCGAAAGCCCCUCACCGGACUUCUGGGAACUCCCAACCCAUCCCGGGAACCCCACCUGCCGGCCCCGGAUCCGGAUGGGCUCCUGAUGUAUCCCACAGAGGGGAUGCCAACGUCAGACACCAGCAGGCUGGGGAGGAGCGGCUGUGAGGUGCAGCCGGCGGGUGGGCGGCCAGCCUCCAGGACAGACCUCGGAGGAGGCUGGGGGCUGCCUGCUGCCCUCGGGGCCCUGUGGUCCCACCACACCCGUGCCUGUCCCAGUGAUCCUCAUGUCACCGGCCCAGUGAGAGGCUGCUGCUACCAACCCCGCCAGCCUGCAGGCCGCUGAGUGCUGGGCUGCUCCUCCUCAGAGGAUGAGCGUGGGAAUAACCCAGUGGGGCGAGGAUGCUGACGGCGCCAUGGAUGUCCACUGAGGGCCCGAGAUGGGCCAGGCCGAGCUCUGUGCUUUGGAGUCAGAUCUCAUUUAAACCCAGCAGCACAUCCCAUUUCACACGUGGGAAGGUGGGGGAGUCAGGAUCAGAGAGCAGGGUGUCGCAUGGGGGAGCAGCCGGGCUGCGAUGUGAACCCUACAGUCUGCCCAUGAGCCGCACUCCUGGGCUGGACACUCCAGAGCCUUCUCAAGCAGCUUUCUUGGGGCUCCCUGAGCACCUGGCUGGAUGCUGCUGGUCUGGAACUCUGGACGGGGGCCCCGGGAGCUGACCUGCAAAGCUGUAGAGCGACUGUGAGGCACUGGCAGCUUUGCAGCCCCUCUGGACCCAGGGUGGGGUGGGCUGAGCAUCUGGCCUUCUGGGUCUAUCUGGGAGGCAGGGCUGUCUCAGAUCUGGGGCCUUCUGAGAAAGAUGUCGAACCCAAGCUUCCUUGGGGAAGGAGGCAGAUGGACCCCAGAUCACUCUCCUGGGUGUGAAAUCAGCUUUGGGGGUGCCUUCGGGGUCGGGCAGAACUGGGCUCACCCAGCUCUCGCCUUUUCUGGCUGUGUCACUUGGGUGAGCUCCUGAGCCUCUCUGUGCCUCGGUUUCCCUGUUGAUUAGGUCAGGCCAAGGAUUAAAUGAUGGCAAAGUCGUACCACGCUGGCUGGUUUUGGGCCUGUGGGGAUUCUUCAUCAUUUCUUCUCUUUCUCCUACUGCAGCUCCAGGCUACCCUGAGAUUUGCCUGCUGGGUCUGGGCUUCAUGGCGGGGCCAGAUUGGUGCCUCGGAGCAGAGGGCACAGGACAGAGCGGGCACCAAUGCACGGGCAGGUUUCCAGGCACUUUGGGAAGAAAUAAGAUCCCACCCAAGAACCUCUCCCCAACUCUGGCCUUGGCUCGUCCUGGUUGUUUCCAAAAGUGAAAGAAGGCAAAAGAGUGAGCCGAGGCCCACCGGGAACAACAACAAAGACCCGGCCUCGGAGUGGCGGCAGCGCCGCGGCCACUGCAGGAGAGCUCUGGUUUCUAUUAGUGGGAAGCGACGGCUCCGUCUCAGGACAGAGCUUGGGCCAUCAGCCCUCGGCGGGUUAACCCUUCCCCACCUCACUGCUCUCACAGGCAACAGGCACCCCUGAAGCUGGGAAGUCCUGGGGCCGGGUUCAGCUGAGGACUCCCUGCAUCCUGCCACCACCACCAACCAUGCUGGCGCUCACACACACACACACAUACGCACGCACACACGCACACACAUGCCUACACACACCCACACGUCUCACAGACACACACGCACACUCACAUGCAUGCACACGUGCCCACACAUGCCCACAUGUCUCACACACACGCAUGCCCACACAUGCACACACACUUAUAUGUGCACACAUAUGCACAAUCCACACCAGCACACACAUGCACAUACACAUACACACACACAGACAUGCAUGCACAUACACACCCAUACAUGCAAACACAUAUUCCUACACAGGGACACUCCACGCCAGGGCCAUGUCAUCUGAGGCCAAAUGAAGAGUUGGCAGAGGAGGAAGGCCUGGAGAGGUAGCGUGGAGGCCAGAGGAGGCCCUGGUUGAGACGUGCUUGCUGGUUUGGCAGGUGGAGGGACUUGGGGACCAAGUAACCCGGCUCGGUCAAACAUUCUCUCCCCAGGCACGGAUGCUGUGUCCCUGGGGAGCCCAACCUCCCCAAGUGGAGCUUGGCUGAGACCCCUCAGCAGCUCCGAGGGCCCCUGUGGGUUGUGAUGCCAGAAACAGGGCCAGAGCUCAGAGGAGGCACAGGGACUACGGUUUCCGUUGAAAGACGGCUCAGGGUCACCGGGCUCAGCAGAGGGAGGGCGCUUCAGGGGCGGUGACCGGGUCGCUUUAGGAAGAUGGGUGGGGGGCACUCGACUCCCAAGGCUGAGGGAGGGGAAAGGUGUGUGCACACUGCAGGCAUCCGGCCUUUGGGCCCCAGAGUGUGCCGGGCAGGUGUCAUCUCCAUUAACAGCUGCAGCCGCUGUGGAGGUGGCUGCCACCAUGAUACCCAUCGUACAGGUGAGGAGGUGGAGGUAGGAAGGGCGUGGCCUGUCUCAACCUGACAGGGAUGUGUGUAUGUGGCCACAUGUUGACUUUUUGUUUUAAAAUUUGGAUUCUACUGGGGAAAAAGAUUACAAUAAAGUGUCUGUGCUGCACCCAGGAAGGCAUGCCCACUGGGUAAGGCUCGGCACCAAGCGGCCUCUCACUGUGGGUCAGGCUCGCAUGGGGCGGGUGUGCCUGGCCCCUGUGUGAACCUGGAGCUGGCCAUGGGGAGAGGCUGCUCUGGGGCUUUUCAGAGAAUCCGUGGUUGAUUCCCUCAAGGACUCCCUCAAGGGGGCCACGCUCCUCCUCCCUGGGUCCCCUCCCUGGCCCCCACCCUUCCCUUUCUCAGGUCCUCCCUCUGACAGUGGCUGUAGCCCUCUGCUCCUAGCCCAGGGCAGCCCUGGCCUCUGGAGUCACAGUCAUGUGUUCAAGUCUCGGCCCCUUUCCCAAGGUGAGCUGGUCCUGCAGGGAUGCGGGAAGUGUCAGAAUAUGAAAACAACCAGGACAAGGACAGCUCAGCUUACCCCGCUCCAGCACCUUCUCCAGGUCAAGCACUUGGCCAGCCCUGUAGCAGCCUCCUCAUUCCAUCUCUCUGGUGUUUUACAGAUGAGAAAUGAGCACAGAGAGGUUAGGAGCAUUGUCCAGUGCCACAGAGCUGGCAUGUGCUUGUCUGGGCUGAGAACUCUAUGAAGCCUUGGAAAUGCUCCCCACAUAUGGAGCAGUGUGUUCAGGCCCCAUGGCCUGACCGGGAGCAGGAGGGAAGGACAGGCUCAGGUCUCGCAUCCCGGGAAGAAUUUCUCCUCAGUGCACCAGGGAAUAUCGCCUGACGACGGAAUCAGGUUUCUUUCCCCAUGACCCCUCCACCAUUAGUGUUCCCAGAAAGCCAGGGGCUGCUGUGCCCAGAGGAGGUGCACCCUGGGAGCCCUGCCUGCAGGACGGGAAGCAGAGCCCCCUCAGAACAGAAACUAGGAACAGAGGAGGGACAAGGGAGGGAGGGCAGAAGGUCCGGUGCCCUCAGUUUCUAUCCAUCCUUGGGUCGGAAACCUGGGAUGGAAUGAGUGAGGAGCUGGGUCCACAGGGACAGGAACUGGGGGAUACCAGGGGCUAGGGCUGCUCAUCCUUUCCCAAGGAGGAGCCAGGGAAAAAUUAAGCUCAUAGGGAAUGUCGGGUUCACCGGGCCUGGCGGACUCCAGAUCCCAGAGGCAGGGCACCCACACAUCUCUCACCGGCACGCACCAGGGCCCCGAUAGCCGGGCACCAUCAUGGCGAAUUACAUUACAUUGCAUUACCCGGGGACCACUAUCAUGACCACGUUGGGAGAGGAAACUGAGGCACUAAGCUGCCAAAGUCACGCAGCCCACAACACUGGAAGGCAAAGCAGCCGUCUGGACCCCAGAACUGGAGCUGUCCCCUCACUGGGCGAAACCCAGAACCCAGUGUUUGCUUCUUUCUCAGAGUAGCAAGAAGACAUGGCAGAGCUGCCCUCAGGCUGGAGGCUUGCAAGCCGGAGGCGCACCACUGUCUAAGCAAACCAGGCACGAGGAAACGCAUUCGCAAGCCUGAGAAGAUGAGUGGCCAUCACUGGCAUCACCGAAAUGGCCUCCUCAACCGGACGGGAAGAAUCCCUCCCCCAGCUGACUCCCCGAGAUGCUCCAUGCCCCACGUUCCUGACCUCCUAGGGGAAGGAGCAGGAGGAACCCAAGGCCAUCAGAGGGGCCUGGACUGUGGGUGCUGCCAAGUCUGUAGGUGACCCGGUGACCAUCCCGGUUUGCAGGGGACCAAGAUUCUUUCUGGGAUGUGGUGCUUUCAGUGGCAACAAGAAGAGCCCCCUCGGCAGCCCUGGCAAUCCAGGACAGUGGGUCGCCCCCGCACGGCCUGACGCUGUGGCGUGGAGUCUCCAGCGGGGCAGCACUGGGUUGGAGGAGGGAGGAUGCUGCCAGCAUCACGGGGAGGUCACAUGCCAGACACUGGUGUCUGAUUUCCCCUUGAGAGAGGUUUCAUCACUGCCCCGUCCUUGGAAAGGGUCACCCAGUCAGACUACAGAGCCAGGACCAUGAUCCAAAGCUGAGCAGUGCCCACCAAAGACAGUGUUCCCAGUGCUCAGGAGCCCUUGGGCCUUUAUAAGGUGUCUACCGUGGGACUAAAAAAACACCUGUCCCCAGGUGACAGCAUGCUGCCUUUGAAACACAGCUCUGUGAGAACACACCUGGCAAAGGCAGUCUUGGGGGCCACGCGGCAGGGACCCCUUUCCUUUACCAACUCUCACAGGCUGAGCCGCUCUUGCUGUGAAUGUACGUGGCCUUGGUAUGUUCUCCAGCAAGAUUAUAAGUGGAGGAUGGAGUCAGCUGGGAAGCGAGGCUCAGAUCAAGGAGGGCUACUACCAGGAUCCCUGCAGAAACAGGGACACAGGGAGAGAUGGCUGUAAAAUCCUUGAGCUUUAAGGGGUAAGCUCAUGGAGCCCUGAAAAAUAUGACUGCAUUGCAAAUGCCAACUUGUAGACACAAAUAUCGUGGAAGCAGGCCACGUUCAGCCUUGCACACUGUGCGCUCUUCCAUGACUGAGAACGUUAGUCACCUGCACCCUGACCAACCUCUCAUCCCUGAAGCCUGCUGGGAGGUGUCUGGGGACAGGAACGAAAAUUUACAAUGUUCUUUGGUUGUUUAAUUUUGAAUUUUCUCCCUCAUUAUUAUUGAAACUGAAACAUCUAAGAGGACACCCAGAUUUAUCUGAAACCGGAAGAUGACACGUAUGAAGGAUCAAGCAUUCAUCACAAACACAGGCAGGCGAAGGAGACCAAAACACAGCUAGGACCAUGCCAAGCGUCGGUGAUGAUGUGGAGAAAUGGGGACCUGCCAGACACUGCUGGUGGGGAGGUGACAUGGUGCAGCCACUAUGGAAAAUAGUCCAGCAGUUCCUCGAAAUGGAAAGCAGGAGUCCCAUGACCCAGCAGUUCCAUUUUCAAGGAAGUCCCCAAGAGAAAUAGAAACUUACGUCUUCACAAAAGCUUGAAAAUACACAUUCAUAGCAGCAUGAUUCAUAACAUCAAAAAGCAGAAACAGCCCAAAUGCCCAUCAGUGGAUGGAUGGAUAAGCACAAUGUGGCCCCUCCAUACGACACAAUAUUACUCAGCCAUAAGAACGAGUGAGGUAGCGGCACAGGCCACAAAGUGGGCGAACCUGGGAACCACGGGACUGAGUGGAAGGAGCCAGUCACAAAAGGUCAUGGGCUGUCUGAAUCCAUUCAUUUGAAUUUCCAGACUAGGCAAAUCCACAGAGACAGAAAGUGGGUUGGUGGUUGCAGUGGCUGGGGGCAGGGGGACAUGGGGAGAGUGCGGAGUGAGUACUAAUAGGUGUGUGGUUUCUUUUUUCAGUGAUAAAAAUGUACUAAAAUUUAUUGUGAUGGUUGCACAAGUCUGUGGCUGAAAACCACUGAAUUGUACGUUUUAAUGGGGUGCAUUGUUUGCGUGUGAAUCACAUCUCAAUAAAGCUGUUUUUAAAAUGCAAUUAUUGCACAAUGCAAA
This 7987-nucleotide long non-coding RNA is filed under the name Homo sapiens (human). RNAcentral describes it as "HSALNT0289864". The record is from RNAcentral. Lineage: Eukaryota; Metazoa; Chordata; Mammalia; Primates; Hominidae.